GUGAGGAAUAUUGGUCAAUGGGCGAGAGCCUGAACCAGCCAAGUCGCGUGAAGGAAGAAGGAUCUAUGGUUCGUAAACUUCUUUUGCAGGGGAAUAAAGUGCAGGACGUGUCCUGUUUUGUAUGUACCCUGAGAAUAAGGAUCGGCUAACUCCGUACCAGCAGCCGCGGUAAUACGGAGGAUCCGAGCGUUAUCCGGAUUUAUUGGGUUUAAAGGGUGCGUAGGUGGUUUGAUACGUCAGCGGUGAAAGUUUGCAGCUUAACUGUAAAAAUGCCGUUGAAACUGUCGGACUUGAGUGUAAAUGAGGUAGGCGGAAUGCGUGGUGUAGCGGUGAAAUGCAUAGAUAUCACGCAGAACUCCGAUUGCGAAGGCAGCUUACUAAGCUACAACUGACACUGAAGCACGAAAGCGUGGGGAUCAAACAGGAUUAGAUACCCGGGUAGUCC
RNAcentral lists this ribosomal RNA (445 nucleotides) under uncultured bacterium. Its description in RNAcentral is "partial 16S ribosomal RNA". It matches the Rfam family "Bacterial small subunit ribosomal RNA", at positions 354 to 796 of the family's 1533-position model. The record is from RNAcentral.